Molecule: ribosomal RNA, 422 nt
Filed under: uncultured Paludibacter sp.
Lineage: Bacteria; Pseudomonadati; Bacteroidota; Bacteroidia; Bacteroidales; Paludibacteraceae
Description: partial 16S ribosomal RNA
Rfam family: Bacterial small subunit ribosomal RNA
Source: RNAcentral
UGAGGAAUAUUGGUCAAUGGGCGAGAGCCUGAACCAGCCAAGUCGCGUGAAGGAAGAAUGCGUUAUGCGUUGUAAACUUCUUUUGUUGGGGAAUAAAAAAGGGGACGAGUCCCCUGUUGUAUGUACCCAAAGAAUAAGCAUCGGCUAACUCCGUGCCAGCAGCCGCGGUAAUACGGAGGAUGCGAGCGUUAUCCGGAUUUAUUGGGUUUAAAGGGUGCGUAGGCGGGAUGAUAAGUCAGUGGUGAAAGUUUGCGGCUCAACCGUAAAAUUGCCAUUGAAACUGUUGUUCUUGAGUACAGUAGAGGUAGGUGGAAUUCGUAGUGUAGCGGUGAAAUGCUUAGAUAUUACGAAGAACUCCGAUUGCGAAGGCAGCUUGCUGGACUGUAACUGACGCUGAGGCACGAAAGUGUGGGGAUCAAACA